RNAcentral lists this long non-coding RNA (246 nucleotides) under Phaseolus vulgaris (common bean). RNAcentral describes it as "long non-coding RNA (PVUL_LNC004256)". Lineage: Eukaryota; Viridiplantae; Streptophyta; Magnoliopsida; Fabales; Fabaceae. The record is from RNAcentral.
UCAAAUAUACUGUUAUAUUAUAUAGUUUCUUGAUUGCCAACAUACUAAUUAGAUCAAAUACAUUUUGUUAAACUGUAUAGUUUCCUGAAUGUAUCUUUUUUUAAAAUUGCAAGUCCCUUGAAAGGUACAAAUCUCAAUAUCAUUAUAAUAAGAUCAAAUACAUUUUGUUAAAUUACAUACUUUCUUGUAUUUUUAUUUGAAUUGGGGUUGUAAUUUUUUGGAAAAAUAUCGUAAUAUGGAGUAAUU